GAUGAACGCUGGCGGCGUGCUUAACACAUGCAAGUCGAACGAAGCACCUUGAUUCGAUUCUUCGGAUGAAGAUCUUGGUGACUGAGUGGCGGACGGGUGAGUAACGCGUGGGUAACCUGCCUCAUACAGGGGGAUAACAGUUAGAAAUGACUGCUAAUACCGCAUAAGACCACAGCACCGCAUGGUGCAGGGGUAAAAACUCCGGUGGUAUGAGAUGGACCCGCGUCUGAUUAGGUAGUUGGUGGGGUAACGGCCUACCAAGCCGACGAUCAGUAGCCGACGUGAGAGGGUGACCGGCCACAUUGGGACUGAGACACGGCCCAAACUCCUACGGGAGGCAGCAGUGGGGAAUAUUGCACAAUGGGGGAAACCCUGAUGCAGCGACGCCGCGUGAGCGAUGAAGUAUUUCGGUAUGUAAAGCUCUAUCAGCAGGGAAGAAAAUGACGGUACCUGACUAAGAAGCACCGGCUAAAUACGUG
This 479-nucleotide ribosomal RNA is filed under the name uncultured bacterium. RNAcentral describes it as "partial 16S ribosomal RNA". It matches the Rfam family "Bacterial small subunit ribosomal RNA", at positions 28 to 507 of the family's 1533-position model. The record is from RNAcentral.